RNAcentral lists this ribosomal RNA (613 nucleotides) under uncultured bacterium. RNAcentral's name for it is "bacterial SSU rRNA". It matches the Rfam family "Bacterial small subunit ribosomal RNA", at positions 269 to 882 of the family's 1533-position model. The record is from RNAcentral.
CAGGGCGACGAUACAUAGGGGGACUGAGAGGUUAACCCCCCACACUGGUACUGAGACACGGACCAGACUCCUACGGGAGGCAGCAGUGAGGAAUAUUGGUCAAUGGACGCAGUUCUGAACCAGCCAUGCCGCGUGCAGGAUGACGGCUCUAUGAGUUGUAAACUGCUUUUGUACGAGGGUAAACGCAGAUACGUGUAUCUGUCUGAAAGUAUCGUACGAAUAAGGAUCGGCUAACUCCGUGCCAGCAGCCGCGGUAAUACGGAGGAUUCAAGCGUUAUCCGGAUUUAUUGGGUUUAAAGGGUGCGUAGGCGGUUUGAUAAGUUAGAGGUGAAAUUUCGGGGCUCAACCCUGAACGUGCCUCUAAUACUGUUGAGCUAGAGAGUAGUUGCGGUAGGCGGAAUGUAUGGUGUAGCGGUGAAAUGCUUAGAGAUCAUACAGAACACCGAUUGCGAAGGCAGCUUACCAAACUAUAUCUGACGUUGAGGCACGAAAGCGUGGGGAGCAAACAGGAUUAGAUACCCUGGUAGUCCACGCAGUAAACGAUGAUAACUCGUUGUCGGCGAUACACAGUCGGUGACUAAGCGAAAGCGAUAAGUUAUCCACCUGGGGAGUA